CCUUUAAGUAUGGACGUGGAGUCUCACAGGCUACUUAAUGUUUACGUUUUCAUAGUUUCGCCUAUUUCCCCUCGCUCUCCGCGAUUGAGCGGCUCAGUAGCUUUGGUUUUAGUUGCCAAGCUGCCAACGAGGGAGGAGGUUGCGUCGUCCGGUGAAUAUCACAUUCUGUAGUACAAAAUGUCAGAAAUCAAUAAUGCCGGUACUUCUAAAUCAAAACGACCGUCUACGGGUUGUGUUAAAAAAUUUCGUGUCGUGAUGAGGCUGACAAAAAAUGUUCGGUUUACUCCAGUAGCCGUCGAACAAGGAGAUGGCCCAUGGUGUUGCUAUAUCGUGUCCUAGACUUGAGUGCCAUGAAGCUGUGGAAAGAGGAGCUUUUCUAAAAAAACUAGCAUGUGUGCUUGUAGUGCCUCAUGUGCAAAGACGUGUUAUAAAUACACGUUUGCCAAGAGAACUGAGGUUUACUAUGAAUCGCGUUUUAGGUGAUGAUAUGGUUACAGAAGGUGUCCAGGAUCAAGAAACCAUUCAAGGGUCCAGAAGAGCAUGUAGAAUCUGUCCCGCGAAAAAACAUAGGAUGACUAUCUAUGUUUGUGUUGGGUGCAAGAAACCUGUGUGUCUCCAAUGUUCCAGACCUUUGUGCACUGACUGCCAAUAAAUUAGCGUUAUUAGACUGUUGUCAAUAUUUUUUGUAUUAGGUACCUGAAGUAGGUGUUUUGUGUUUUCGGUUCCUUGUUUAUUAUA
Long non-coding RNA from Spodoptera frugiperda (fall armyworm), 738 nucleotides. RefSeq lists it as uncharacterized. The record is from RefSeq and is a predicted model, not a curated record. Lineage: Eukaryota; Metazoa; Arthropoda; Insecta; Lepidoptera; Noctuidae. The transcript has 2 exons.